Molecule: ribosomal RNA, 305 nt
Filed under: uncultured bacterium
Lineage: Bacteria
Description: bacterial SSU rRNA
Rfam family: Bacterial small subunit ribosomal RNA
Source: RNAcentral
UCCUACGGGAGGCAGCAGUGGGGAAUAUUGCACAAUGGGGGAAACCCUGAUGCAGCAACGCCGCGUGAGUGAAGAAGUAUUUCGGUAUGUAAAGCUCUAUCAGCAGGGAAGAGAAUGACGGUACCUGACUAAGAAGCCCCGGCUAACUACGUGCCAGCAGCCGCGGUAAUACGUAGGGGGCGAGCGUUAUCCGGAUUUACUGGGUGUAAAGGGAGCGUAGACGGCAGUGCAAGUCCGGAGUGAAAGCCCGGGGCUCAACCCUGGGACUGCUCUGGAAACUGUAAAGCUGGAGUGCGGGAGGGGCA